GCAAAACUGAGCAGAGAAGUUCAAAUACAGAAAUAGAGAUGCAGAAAACAUUGAACUGGGCUCAGAGGCAAUGUGGGAAAACAUAGAGGAAGAAAUUACAGCAUUGUCGGCAUGCUCUGUGAAUUCUGGCUCUUCUUACAGGUCCUUAAGCUCAGUAACAUCACUCAAGUUCAUAGCUAGUGUCAUGCAUGUAACUGUUUGAUUAUCCCCAUUGCAUGGUGACCUACACAUUUUACAUAAAGCAAAUGUAUGCAAACAACACAAGACAGUACAGUAACUUAAAUAUAUUCCAAAAUAUAAACAAAAUAAUAAUUCCAACCACCUUGGCCCUGACCAGAGAGUUACUAAGGAUUUAUGAAUAAAUGCUGUAAAUGCAUCACACAGUGCUGCACUGUGGUCAUUGUUUGUCCCACAAGCUUCAUAUAUGACUGAAAGUAAAACCUCACAUUUGUGCAAUUUUUUGUUGUUUCCAGUCUGAGUACACACCUCUAGCUCAUCCAGAUGGAUAUUCAUUCUGAAUAAAAUAUUCGUAUUUGGUUACAUUCCUAAUAUAUCUAUAUGAAGAGAAUAUUUUAUAUGCACCUGUCUGUGCUAUUUGGUUGAGCUUCCUCGCAGAGCUGUGCCGAGGGGACAUGAAGAUCUGAAGAUGUGACAGGAUGUCUUUUUACACUGUCCAUGAAGGUGAUAGCAUCUAGAGGGGUUUUGCUGCAGCAUCUUUGCAGUUAUUCAGAUAUGUUGCCAAGGUCCUUGCAGAGGACUUUUUGAAAACUGAUAAACUACCACAGAUUAUGACAGAAUAUCAGUCUGGCCAUACUGUUCCAGGUCAUGUGACAUACAGUUGUGAUCAUAAAUUUAUAUACCCCUUGCAGAAUCUGCAAAAUGUUAAUAAUAUUAAAAAAUAAUAAGAUAAUAAUAAAAUCAUCAUAAAACUGCAUUUUGUUUUUUAUUUAGUGCUGUCCUGAAUAAGCUAUUUCACAUAAUAGAUGUUUACGGAUGUGUCCACAAGACACAAUAAUAACACAAAUUUACACAAAUGAACGAGUUGAAAAGUUUACACACCCUUGAUUCUUAAUACUGUGUGUCGUUAUCUGGAUGAUCAUUGACUGUGUUUAUGUUUUGUGAUAGUUGUUCAUGAGUCCCUUGUUUGUCCUGAACAGUUAAACUGCCUACUGUUAUUCAGAAAAAUCCUCCAGGUCCUGUAAAUUCUUUGCUUUUCCAGCAUUUUCUGCAUACUGUAUUUGACCCAUUUCCAGUGGCUAUAUGAUGUUCAGAUGCAUCUAUUCACACUGAGGACAACCGAGGGACUCGUACACGACUAUUACAAAAGCUGCAAACAUUCACUGAUGCUCCAGAAGCCAACACGAUACAUUAAGAGCCAGGGGGGUGUAAACUUUUGAACAGGACGAUCUUUGUAAAUUGUUAUUAUUUUGUCUUCUGCGAAAUAUGUAUAAAUCUUAUGUAGCUUCUGAAGGACAGUACUAAAUGAAAAAAAAACAACAACCAACUUUAAAAAAAAAAAAAAAAAAAAAAAGAAGAAAUUACACCAAUCACCCUGUUCAAAAGUUUAAAAUCUCUAAGACUAAAAUUGCACUGAAUCCCUAACAGGAAAAUUGGACAUGAUUAACAUUUCUGUUUCAAAAUACAAUAUGCUGCAGCUUUCAAAAUACACAUCCUUAAAGGAAUUUGUAUAUAAGCCACAUUAUGGAAAUAACAUUACGUGUUACAAUUGGCUAAGAGUUAAGAUGAAGAUCAUACUCUGAAAGACCCAACAAGAUCUUUAGGAAAUAUGACAGAAUUACUCAAAAUCACUGCUGCUUUACAGGCAAAAGGGAGAAUAACAGGGUUAAUGUAGCUGGGAGUGUGAUUGUACAGCCUCUCACCCUACCUCGUCAAUGACACAUUGAGGCUGUGGUAAACAGCAUUUUGCAAGCCCAGACUGAAACUGCUUUGAAAUAGGCAAUGCUUCUUUGAAUUGUACUCUUAGGAGGCUUCCAAAAUAUGCAGUCAGUCUAAAAUGAUAGGACAAGUGACAUUUAUUUUCCUCAUGGUUCCAAGCCAAUAGCUAAUUCUACCCAUUGGUGAAGUCUAUCCCUUCAUCUGUGAGGGUGACAGCUAACAAGCACUUAAUCCAAAACAUGUGAAACCAGCCACUGCAUCAGACCAAAUGAUUCAGGGACUGAUGCUCUUGCAACGUCAUAGAACAGCUGAAUGCUGCCUACUUCUGUAUGCAUGGGCUCAGAGACACUCCCAAAUUGGCUAGCAGCACUUUGAUUGAAAAGAAAGCCAUCCUUGACGCCAACAGAAUGGGCAAGAUGUACUUUUAUUUACUUCCCAUGACAGAUGGUAUUGCUGGCAUUCAGUUUUUUCAUAUACUGGCUAAAUGGUGAACACAUAGACAAGUGAUAUUUAUGACAUUUAAGUUAUUAUUCAUUACCAUGUUUGGACACACUUGAUAUAAUUUUAUUGUCUUAAAUACAUUUUGAUAAAGGCUUAUAGCUUAUGUCAGUAGUGUACUUUACUGCACUUUAUUGCGUUAUGUAUACAUUUAUUCCUGAGUUGAAAUGUAUUUUUACUUAAACAUUAAAUGGUAUUCCUCAAAAAGGAGGCGUUUCUAUAACAAUUGUUAUUUGAACGUUAUAUAAAACUCCUCAUAAACUAAUUAAAAACAAAUUUAAUUAUUAAUAUUGCAAAAUUGUCUGUAAGGAAACAUUCAUUUGGCAUAUUUGGAAGGAGUCUCCAGUGUCAGUGCUUUCUAACAGUUAGAGGUAAAGAUGUAACUUUACGUUUUCUGACAUAGGAAAGAACAGGGAGCUUUACAGUUUCUCUGUAGCUGUUUAAAAAUAUAUAUUUUCAAGAAAUAUUAAAAAAUGCUAGGAAUGCUGAUGGAAUGAAUGUUCAUAGAUGUUAUAAUGUAAGUAAUAAUAGGACCUAACUUGUUUUACUGACAUUCCACAACAAUAAACAUAACUAGAAAAGGACUUUUUAAAAAAUUAUGUCAUUUUUCAAUAAAUAAAACAUGGUUAGUUUUGGCAAAUUGCUAUGAUCUAAGAGAAAUAAAACAGGUAAUGAAGAGAUGUUAUUGGAAAAUAAAUCAGUCUGGGCGUGACUUGGUACCGGGAUGCAUCAGAACACCCUGUGGUGGAUUAUUUUCCUGUAAUAGCCAUGUUGUAUUCCUUACCUGUUCAUGCUUUCAUUGUUAUUCUUAAAUAGUAGAACAUUUCUCAGAAGCAGUAAUAAUAAAACAGAUGUGUCCAAACUUUUUUUAUUAUUAUUAUCAGGAAACAGCAAAUUUAGUGGCAAAUUCUGUGAUGAAUUACUCUUUAGGUGAACAUAAACUCAAUUAAUUAGCUUUAACAUUAUUAUUAAACAAUUAUAUUUGAAAAAUGUUGUUUGUUCAUAUAUAAUAUUACAGCAUUGUUUUUAGAUGAAUUAACAGGAAUAAUUAACCAUUAUAAAAUGAAUUAGACCAACAGAGCUACAAAUGCACCAGUGGCUCAGUAACUUUUCUGAAAUAACUGAAAGUUGCAUUUACCCAGUUUUGUGAGAUUUCAGAUUCACUUCAUUGUUACGCAUGUUGGAGAGAAACUUCAGGCUGAGCCCCUCUCUUGAAACCUCUGCAAAGAGAGAAACAUUUUUUCCCAGUUAUUUUUGUUGUUCAUUUAUCAUCACCAGCAUUUCCAUUUUAGAACACAACUCUGGUCAUCAUUAGCAACAUCACUAUAUCAUGUCUGUACAGGAAUCGGCAUCAAACUUUGUACCCCAGAAUAAACCACAAACUACAAACAUGGACUCAUUGGACUGUGAAACUCACAAAGCACACUCAAUGUCAUGUUCUUUUUCACCAGAUUACCGAUUACACACACCUGGACGCUAUCACUACUCACCUCCAUAUAAGUACUACCUCUAUAUAAGUACACUCCAAACUUAUACUGCGAAGUAUCUGUUCAACUCUGUUUCACAACUGCCAUACCACUGCUUGAUUGAUUGCUGUGUUGAUUCUGGAUUGUUUACCUUGAUUGUGAUUGCUGCCUUGAUCUCUUAUAUCCUGAUUGUUCAUAACCUGACCAUGUGCCUGUCUCUCAACAUUGAAUACACCUAGUGUUUUGUACUUGAUUUUGCUAGAUUUUGAAUAAAAAUUCAGUCUAAAGCAAUUGUCACCAUCUCUGCUGCAUGACACACUGCUAUCACCA
Molecule: long non-coding RNA, 4190 nt
Organism: Ictalurus punctatus (channel catfish)
Lineage: Eukaryota; Metazoa; Chordata; Actinopteri; Siluriformes; Ictaluridae
Source: Ensembl